RNAcentral lists this ribosomal RNA (1040 nucleotides) under uncultured bacterium. RNAcentral describes it as "bacterial SSU rRNA". It matches the Rfam family "Bacterial small subunit ribosomal RNA", at positions 28 to 1056 of the family's 1533-position model. The record is from RNAcentral.
AUUGAACGCUGGCGGCGUGCUUAACACAUGCAAGUCGAACGUGAAAGUCCUUCGGGGCGAGUAAAGUGGCGCACGGGUGAGUAACGCGUGGAUAAUCUACCCUUAAGAUGGGGAUAACGGCUGGAAACGGUCGCUAAUACCGAAUACGCUCCCGAUUUUAUCGUUGGGGGGAAAGAUGGCCUCUGCUUGCAAGCUAUCGCUUAAGGAUGAGUCCGCGUCCCAUUAGCUAGUUGGCGGGGUAACGGCCCACCAAGGCGACGAUGGGUAGCCGGUCUGAGAGGAUGACCGGCCACACUGGAACUGGAACACGGUCCAGACUCCUACGGGAGGCAGCAGUGGGGAAUAUUGCGCAAUGGGCGAAAGCCUGACGCAGCGACGCCGCGUGAGGGAUGAAGGUUCUCGGAUCGUAAACCUCUGUCAGGGGGGAAGAAACCCCCUCGUGUGAAUAAUGCGAGGGCUUGACGGUACCCCCAAAGGAAGCACCGGCUAACUCCGUGCCAGCAGCCGCGGUAAUACGGAGGGUGCAAGCGUUAAUCGGAAUCACUGGGCGUAAAGCGCACGUAGGCGGCUUGGUAAGUCAGGGGUGAGAUCCCACAGCCCAACUGUGGAACUGCCUUUGAUACUGCCAGGCUUGAGUACCGGAGAGGGUGGCGGAAUUCCAGGUGUAGGANUGAAAUCCGUAGAUAUCUGGAGGAACACCGGUGGCGANNCGGCCACCUGGACGGUAACUGACGCUGANGUGCGAAAGCGUGGGUAGCAAACAGGAUUAGAUACCCUGNUAGUCCACGCUGUAAACGAUGGGUGCUGGGUGCUGGGAUGUAUGUCUCGGNGCCGUANCUAACGCGAUAAGCACCCNGCCNGGGGAGUACGGUCGCAAGNCUGAAACUCAAAGAAAUUGACGGGGGCCCGCACAAGCGGUGGAGUAUUGUGGUUUAAUUCGAUGCUACGCGAGAAUCUUACCCCAGGCUUGACAUCUAGGACCUUCGGAAUGAAGGGGGUGCCCUUCGGGGAGCCUAGACAGGUGCUGCAUGCCUGUCGUC